This is an RNA transcript of Elephantulus edwardii (Cape elephant shrew), 3452 nucleotides long. It is a transcript of the gene named RNA-binding protein 12-like, with no coding region annotated. NCBI's taxonomy places the organism in Eukaryota, Metazoa, Chordata, Mammalia, Macroscelidea, Macroscelididae. The transcript is spliced from 3 exons. The record is from RefSeq and is a predicted model, not a curated record.
GGAGGAGGUGGUGACUGCGCUGGUCUGUGGGAACCGCUCAGGCUGGGGCUGUCGGCCUCGGGCGGAUGCACUCCUGCGGGGUGGGUGGUGGGUAACUCGGGCCUACUUUCGGGUACCGCGCAACUCUCCCCGUCUAAAAGUUGGUUUUAAUUGGUUGCCCAUAGGAUUGACUUGGCCUCUACUUCUUGUUAAGAAAAUACAUCUCUUGUUUUAUCAGGUGUGUGUGGUUUCAGCGCAGCAUGGCUGUGGUCAUCCGUUUGCAAAGUCUUCCGAUUGUGGCCAGUACCAUGGACAUUCGCCGCUUCUUCUCUGGAUUGACCAUCCCUGAUGGGGGCGUACAUAUUGUAGGGGGUGAACUGGGUGAGGCUUUCAUCUUUUUUGUCACUGAUGAAAAUGCAAGGCUUGGUAUGAUGUGCACAGGUGGUACAAUAAAAGGGUCAAAAGUAACAUUAUUAUUGAGUAGUAAGAUGGAAAUGCAGAAUAUGAUUGAACUGAGCCGUAGACGUUUUGAAACUGCCAACUUAGAUAUGCCACCAGCUAAUGCUAGCAGAUCAGGACCACCGCCUAGCUCAGGAAUGAGUGGUAGAGUAAACUUGCCUACAGCAGUACCCAACUUUUGUAAUCUUUCACCCACUUUAGUAACUACUUCUGUUCUUGAAAGCAACAAAAACAUACAGACAUUUUCCACAGCCAGCGUAGGAACAGCCCCUCCAAAUAUGGGGACUUCUUUUGGGAGCCCAACAUUUAGCUCCACAAUUCUGAGCACAGCCUCUCCAAUGAACACAGUUCCACCACCACCAAUUCUGCCAAUCCAAGCUAUACCGUCUUUGCCACUGAUGCCAUUUAUUCCCCCUAAACCAGUUCCUCCUCCAGUACCUACAUCGCCUCCUGUGCCACCAAUUCCCCCAGUACCUUCUGUGCCACCCAUGACAACAUUGCCACCUAUGUCAGGCAUGCGACCCUUGAACCCACCACUUGUAACACCUCUGCCUGCUGGAAUGAAUGAGUCUGGGACACCUAUGAAUCUGAACAAUAACUGAACCCUGUGUUUCUGGGUCCUUUGAACUCUCAAAACAGUGUGAAGCCACUUUUCAUCAACCCUGAUGAUCCCUAUGUCAGUGUGCAUGGAAUGCCCUUUUCUGCAAUGGAGAAUGAUGUCAGAGAGAUUUUCCAUGGGCUCUAUGUUGAUGCAGCACAUUUGUUGAAAGAUCACGUAGGUCGAAAGAAUGGGAAUGGGUUAAUCAACUUUCUUUCACCUCAAGAUACACUUGAAACUUUGAAAAGAAACAGAAUGCUGAUGAUUCAGCGCUAUGUGGAAGUUAGCCCUGCCACAGAAAGACGGUGGGCAGCUUCUGGAGGCCAUAUAACUUUUAAGCAAAGUAUGGGACCUUCUGGGCAACCCCAUAUUCCUCCUCAGGUGCUUCCCAGGUCAAAAUCGCCCAGUGGGCAGAAAAGAUCAAGAUCACCACAGGAGACUGGUUUUUGUGUUUACUUGAAAGGGUUACCAUUUGAAGCAGAAAACAAGCAUGUCAUCGAUUUUUUUAAAAAGUUAGAUAUUAUGGAAGAUAGUAUUUAUAUAGCUUAUGGACCCAAUGGGAAAGCAACAGGUGAAGGCUUCGUAGAAUUCAGGAAUGAGGCUGACUACAAGGCUGCUCUGUCGCCAUAAACAAUACAUGGGCAAUCGAUUUAUUCAAGUUCACCCAAUUACUAAGAAAGGUAUGCUAGAAAAGAUAGAUAUGAUUAGAAAAAGACUGCAGAACUACAACUAUGACCAGAGAGAAAUAUUAAAUCCAGAAGGGGAUGUCAACUCUGCCAAAGUCUCUGCCCACACAACAAAUAUUCCAUUCAGUAUUACGAAGAUGGAUGUUCUUCAGUUCCUUGAGGAAAUCCCAGUGGAUGAAAAUGCUGUACAUGUUCUUGUUGAUAACAAUGGACAAGGUCUAGGACAGGCAUUGGUUCAAUUUAAGAAGAAAGAUGAUGCACAUAAGUCUGAACGCUUACACCGUAAAAAACUUAAUGGAAGAGAAGCUUUUGUGCAUAUAUUUACUCUAGAAGACACGAGAGAAAUUGAGAAAAAUCCUCCUGCUCAAGGCAAAAAAGGGACUAAAGAUGUCAGUGCCAGGUAAUCCUCCUGUUCCAGUAAUGCCCAAUGCCGGACUGCCUGCUGCAGGAAUGCCCGGUGCAGGAUUGCCAGCUUCAGGACUGCCUGGUGCCGGAAUGCCUGGUGCAGGAAUGCCUGGUGUGGGAAUGCCUGGUACGGGAAUGCCCGGUGCGGGAUUGCCUGGUGCGGGAUUGUCCAGUGCAGGAGGUGAAGAGCAUGCUUUCCUGGCUGUAGGCUCAAAGAAGGCCAACAGUGGACCUCCUUUUAACUUUCCUAGUAAUUUUGGUGGGUCGAACUUUGGACCACCACUCCCUCCUCCAGGAUUAGGAGGGGCCUUUGGUGAUGGUAGGCCUGGUAUGCCUUCAAUUGGAAACAGUGGUUUGCCUGCUCUAGGACUGGAUGUUCCAGGUUUUGGAAGUGGACCAAAUAAUUUAAAGGGGCCAUCAGGAUUUGGAAGGGGCCCUCAGAAUUUUGGAAAUGGUCCUGGUGCUUUAGGUGGCCCUCCUAACUUUGGAGGGGGCCCUCCUGGUCUUGGAAAUGCCCCAGGUCAUUUGAGUGGGCCACCAGCCUUUGGGCCUGGCCCUGGCCCUGGCCCUGGCCCAAUCCACAUUGGCUUUGGUUCUAGUUCUGGAAAACCAGGACCAACAGUCAUUAAAGUGCAGAAUAUGCCCUUUACUGUGUCUCUUGAUGAGACUUUAGAUUUCUUUUAUGGCUAUCAAGUAAUCCCAGGCUCAGUGUGUUUAAAUUACAAUGAAAAAUGUAUGCCCACAGGUGAAGCCAUGGUGGCCUUUGAGUCUCCAGAUGAAGCCACAGCUGCUGUCAUUGAUUUACAUGACAGGCCUAUAGGGUCAAGGAAAGUAAAACUUAUAUUAGGAUAGCUGUUCACGUAAAUACAUUGUAGGGUAGAUCUACCUAGUGCUGUGAUUAAUACAUCAAGAUUGUUUUCCUAGUAUUUCCAGGUUAGAACCUGGGGAUUGUUUUAAAUCACAAGUAGAUUGGUUUUCCUGUAACAUAUAGCAUUGGUUGACUGUUUACAGAAGACUCGUUACCAGAAUAAACAUUGCUCUAUGUUAUAAUUCUGAAAAGAACACAAAGAUGAUUUUGGCAUACCAUUAGAGAAACUAUUUGUGAAAUUCAAAUUACCAUAUAAAGCUUAUCAAGAAGACUAGAUUGGUGUUAUUUUAUACCAUAUGGGAUAAAGAAAUUGAAAUGUCCUUAGAGCUAAUUUAAAGGUGCUCUUACCUACUCUUGAAAUUUGGUUAAAUCUGGACAGAUUUCCUUUGUUACACGGUCAAAGCUUUGUCUAAAGUCCUCAUUUUCUUUCAAAUUGAAUAAAAUCUCUGUAUACAGA